RNAcentral lists this transfer RNA (73 nucleotides) under Bos taurus (domestic cattle). It matches the Rfam family "tRNA". Rfam says of the family: Transfer RNA (tRNA) molecules are approximately 80 nucleotides in length. Their secondary structure includes four short double-helical elements and three loops (D, anti-codon, and T loops). The record is from Rfam by way of RNAcentral. RNAcentral also lists the same sequence under 5 other names. Lineage: Eukaryota; Metazoa; Chordata; Mammalia; Artiodactyla; Bovidae.
UCCCUGGAGGUCCAGUGGUUAAGACUCCACACUUCUAAUGUAGGGGACAGGGGUUCAAUCCCUGGUCAGGGAA